RNAcentral lists this ribosomal RNA (878 nucleotides) under uncultured bacterium. RNAcentral's name for it is "bacterial SSU rRNA". It matches the Rfam family "Bacterial small subunit ribosomal RNA", at positions 144 to 1026 of the family's 1533-position model. The record is from RNAcentral.
UAGCCCAGAGAAAUUUGGAUUAAUACCGCAUACGCCCUACGGGGAAAGCAGGGGCUCUUCGGACCUUGCGCUAUCAGAUGAGUCUGCGUCGGAUUAGCUUGUUGGUGAGGUAAUGGCUCACCAAGGCGACGAUCCGUAGCUGGUCUGAGAGGAUGAUCAGCCACACUGGAACUGAGACACGGUCCAGACUCCUACGGGAGGCAGCAGUGGGGAAUAUUGCACAAUGGGCGCAAGUGAUGUAGCCAUGCCGCGUGUGUGAAGAAGGCCUUAGGGUUGUAAAGCACUUUCAGCAGUGAGGAAAGGUUAGUAGUUAAUACCUGCUAGCUGUGACGUUAACUGCAGAAGAAGGACCGGCUAACUCCGUGCCAGCAGCCGCGGUAAUACGGAGGGUCCAAGCGUUAAUCGGAAUUACUGGGCGUAAAGCGCGCGUAGGGGUUUGUUAAGUCAGAUGUGAAAGCCCAGGGCUCAACCUUGGAACUGCACCUGAUACUGGCAAACUAGAGUACAGAAGAGGGUGGUGGAAUUUCCUGUGUAGCGGUGAAAUGCGUAGAUAUAGGAAGGAACACCAGUGGCGAAGGGACCACCUGGUCUGAUACUGACGCUGAGGUGCGAAAGGUGGGGAGCAAACAGGAUUAGAUACCCUGGUAGUCCACGCCGUAAACGAUGUCUACUAGCCGUUGGGGUACUUGAUACUUUAGUGGCGCAGUAACGCACUAAGUAGACCGCCUGGGGAGUACGGCCGCAAGUUAAAACUCAAAUGAAUUGACGGGGGCCCGCACAAGCGUGGAGCAUGUGGUUUAAUUUCGAAGCAACGCGAAGAACCUUACCUACUCUUGAAAUCCUGCGAACUUAGUAGAGAUACUUUGGUGCCUUCGGAA